GAUGAACGCUGACAGAAUGCUUAACACAUGCAAGUCUUUGGCGAAGCUGUGCUUGCACAGCCUAGCCAAGGCGGACGGGUGAGUAACGCGUAAGGAACUUGCCCUGCAGUCAGGGAUAACAGACGGAAACGACUGAUAAGACCUGGUAAAGUCAGGCGGACUCAUGUCCAGCCUGAUGAAAAGAGAUGCUGCAGGAGAGCCUUGCGUCCUAUUAGCUUGUUGGUGGGGUAACGGCCCACCAAGGCGAUGAUAGGUAGCCGGCCUGAGAGGGUGGACGGCCACAAGGGGGCUGAGAUUCGGCCCUUACCCCUACGGGAGGCAGCAGGGGGGAAUAUUGGACAAUGGGGGCAACCCUGAUCCAGCAAUUCUGUGUGCACGAUGAAGGUUUUCGGAUUGUAAAGUGCUUUCAGCAGGGAAGAAAAAAAUGACGGUACCUGCAGAAGAAGCGACGGCUAAAUACGUG
RNAcentral lists this ribosomal RNA (463 nucleotides) under uncultured bacterium. Its description in RNAcentral is "partial 16S ribosomal RNA". It matches the Rfam family "Bacterial small subunit ribosomal RNA", at positions 28 to 507 of the family's 1533-position model. The record is from RNAcentral.